RNAcentral lists this ribosomal RNA (1972 nucleotides) under human gut metagenome. Its description in RNAcentral is "bacterial LSU rRNA". It matches the Rfam family "Bacterial large subunit ribosomal RNA", at positions 1 to 1983 of the family's 2925-position model. The record is from RNAcentral.
GAAAGUAAAAAAGGGCGCAUGGCGGAUGCCUUGGCUCUCGGAGGCGAUGAAGGACGUGAUAAGCUGCGAUAAGCUUUGGGGAGGUGCAAAUGACCUUUGAUCCAGAGAUUUCCGAAUGGGACAACCCAAUAUCUUGAAGAGGUAUUAUCCAACGUUGUUGGAGGCUAACGCAGGGAACUGAAACAUCUUAGUACCUGCAGGAAAAGAAAAUAAACAAUGAUUCCCCCAGUAGUGGCGAGCGAACGGGGAACAGCCCAAACCAUCCAUGUUACGGCAUGGGUGGGGUUGUAGGACUACGCCGUUGCAUGAAGACAUCAGAGAAGAACUUUCUGGAAAGAAAGACCAUAGAGCAUGACAGUUGCGUAUUCGAAUGUUGUCGAAGCAUAGUAGUAUCCUGAGUAGCGCGGAGCACGAGGAAUUCUGCGUGAAUCUGCCGGGACCAUCCGGUAAGGCUAAAUACUCCCGAGAGACCGAUAGCGAACCAGUACCGUGAGGGAAAGGUGAAAAGCACUUCGAACAGAAGAGUGAAAUAGUUCCUGAAACCGUGCGCCUACAAGCGGUCGGAGCUCGUUAAUGAGUGACGGCGUGCCUUUUGCAUAAUGAACCUACGAGUUGCCUUUGCCGGCAAGGUUAAGUGUGACGACACACGUAUCCGAAGCGAAAGCGAGUCUGAAUAGGGCGUAUAGUCGGCAGUGGCAGACGCGAAACCAAGUGAUCUACCCUUGGCCAGGUUGAAGGCUGGGUAACACCAGCUGGAGGACCGCACCAAUAAGCGUUGAAAAGCUUCUGGAUGAGCUGAGGGUAGGGGUGAAAGGCUAAUCAAACUUGGAGAUAGCUCGUACUCCCCGAAAUGCAUUUAGGUGCAGCCUUGCGGGUUACUGAUGUGAGGUAGAGCGACUGAUAAGAUGCGAGGGCUUCACCGCCUAUCAAGUCUUGACAAACUCCGAAUGCGCAUCAGUUCUACCGCAGGAGUGAGGGCAUGGGUGCUAAGGUCCGUGCCCGAGAGGAGAAGAAUCCGGACCACCUGCUAAGGUCCCGAAAUGACAGCUAAGUUAAACUAACGAAGUCUGACUGCUAAGACAGCUAGGAUGUUGGCUUGGAAGCAGCCAUUCAUUUAAAGAGUGCGUAACAGCUCACUAGUCGAGGAGUCGGGCGUGGAUAAUAAUCGGGUAUUAAGUUGUCUACCGAAGCAGUGGGAUCAUUUAUAUGAUCGGUAGGGGAGCAUUCCAGUCAGCGUCGAAGGCGUACCGUGAGGUAUUCUGGAGCGUCUGGAAAAGCAAAUGUAGGUAUAAGUAACGAUAAAGGGGGCGGGAAACCCCCUCGCCGAAAGACUAAGGUUUCCUGAUCAACGCUAAUCGGAUCAGGGUCAGUCGGGUCCUAAGGCUCAGCCGAACGGCGAUGCCGAUGGCAGAAACGGUUAAUAUUCCGUUACUACCUUCAGGAGUGACGUGGAGACGCAGUAGUGACAGUGCCGCCAUCUGACGGAAUAGAUGGUUGAAGGGUGUAGGAGUCGAUCAUGGCAGGCAAAUCCACCAUGAGAUCCGAACCUGAUAGUAUGCCGCGUCCUUCGGGACAAGGCAAUAGUGCGCGUAAGCAUGCUGCCGAGAAAAUCCGCUAAACUUAAUCCUGUAGGUACCCGUACCGCAAACGGACACACGUAGUCGGGAUGAAUAUUCUAAGGCGCUUGAGUGAUUCACGGUUAAGGAACUAGGCAAACUGACCCUGUAACUUCGGGAUAAAGGGUCCCUACCCUUUUAUGGGAGGGCGCAGAGAAUCGGUCCAGGCAACUGUUUAACAAAAACACAGGGCUGUGCCAAAUCGAAAGAUCCAGUAUACAGCCUGACACCUGCCCGGUGCUGGAAGGUUAAGAGGAGAUGUCAUCGAUAAGAGAAGCGUUGAAUUGAAGCCCCAGUAAACGGCGGCCGUAACUAUAACGGUCCUAAGGUAGCGAAAUUCCUUGUCGGGUAAGUUC